UCCUCUGAAUGCUCGACAAGAUGGGAGUGGCCACCAUUCACCGCAGCACAUUCUUCCGUCACCUUGAGUCAGCAGUCCUCAAGAUAUGGGAUGUCAAGCAGAGUGGCGCCAUCAAAAACCCUCCAGGAAGUGGGUGGAGAUCUGGUCUUGGCAGCAGAUCGAAGGAGUGAUAGUCCCAGGCACUCUGCAAGGUUUGGGACGUUCCCUGCUGUCGAACAGAGAAUCAACACGAUUUGGAACAUAGAAAUUGUUCAGAGCAAUGAAGUGAAGAGCGGCACAUGGAGUGAGCUGGAGGGGUUGAAGAGGAAUAAGCAGUUCGUUGACAGAUCUUCGCUUGUGGUUGAAACCCUCAUCACUCAACAUUUAUUUUCUUUGUAUUAUCUUUUACCAGAUCUAAUGUGUUGUAUUCACCUACAUUAAUUUUACAUUUCCACAAACUUCAAAGUGUUUCCUUUCAAAUGGUAUCAAGAAUAUCCUUGCUUCAGGUCCUGAGCUACAGGCAGUUAGAUUUGAGUAUGUCAUUUUAGAUGAAAAUUGAAAAUUGAAGGGUUGGAGCCAUAAGAGUUUUUUUUUUUUUUACCUGCAUCCUCCCCUUCAUCUACACUGAUUGAAGUAGAUUUUACAAGUUACAUCAAUAAUGUAUGAUAGCUUUCAACUGGAUUCACCUAGUCAGUCUGUCUAGCGCAGGUGCUCUUAAUGUUUUGUACACUGUGUAUGUUUUAAUAACCGCUAAUGAAAAAGUAAAAACAUGUUUGAAUUAUUUUUAUGGUGACAUGAAUCCCAUGUAGGGCAUGUUCUCCUCAUUUGGGAACCUAUUUCUUAUCCCAUUGACUUCACACGCUGGAAUUGGCACAUGGUUGUACUGCCCCAGAUAUCUCCACUUCCAGCUGUGGAACUGUCUGUAGGCAAUUGUAUCUGAACUUUCUAAAAAGACAGGGGAAAUGUUUUUACUAUUGGCAGGGGGAGUGCUGUAACAUAAUUAGAUUUUAUUAUUAUAUUCGAUUUGUAAGGAUUCUAUUCGUAGAUUAACUAGCUCGUGUUGACUAUGAACUUUAUUGGCAUUCUGGGCAUAUAGUUUUUUGGGGUAUCUGUACUUUACUUGAGUAUUUAUAUUUUUGACAACUUUUAUGCCACUAUUUUAUGCCAUUAUGAACUUUUUUCCCUGACACCCAAAAGUACUUGAUACAUUUCAAAUCCUCAGGAGGGACAGCAAAAUGGUCCAAUACAGGCACCUAUCAAUGUAAAUGAUUGUUAUCCCUACUGCCUCUGAUCUGGCAGACUCACUUAACACAAAUACUGCGUUUGGAAAUCAUGUCUGAGUGUGGGAGUGUGCCCUUCUCUGUCCCUUAAUAAAAAAUGUUUUACAUUUUCUUUAUGUAUAGCAUAAACUUUAACUUUUUGUAUUAUUAAAGUAUGAUCAUUUAG
Molecule: long non-coding RNA, 1425 nt
Organism: Oncorhynchus kisutch (coho salmon)
Lineage: Eukaryota; Metazoa; Chordata; Actinopteri; Salmoniformes; Salmonidae
Exons: 2
Source: RefSeq, a predicted model, not a curated record